GUGUGCGUGUGAUCGAGCAGGAGAAAAGGGGAAGGGGUGUAAACCCUAACCCACAUGAAAUCAUCAAAUUGGAAAAGGAUUUGAGGGUUAAUUGGAUGCAUGAACCAAGAUUUAUGAUCACUCAAGCGUUCUUGACACCAAGAUAGGAAUCCCAAAUUGACAUGGACUCAAGUAUGGAAAGCUAACGGGUCAAGCGGAGGUGAGGAAGCAAGCAUGAACACUAACACUUAAGAUAUGUAGGUGCGUAUGAUCAGACGUAUGAAUAUAUGAAUGCACGAAGUAGGAUUUAUCGUCUAUGAAAAGAAUGGGACAGGAAUGAGAACGUCAGACUCUUGUAGAAUUGAAGCCGAACCUUGAAGCCGAACUCGGAACAAAGGAAUCCGAGAGGAUAGUCGAAUGAAUCAAAGUUUAUGUUGUCGAAUGUUAUAUGAUUUUUAAUUUGCAUCAGAUUAUUGUUGUAUGACGUUGUCAAUGACUAAUGGUUAAGUUGUAUGUGUCGUCCACAGGUACUACACGGAUUUCUUCUGCUGCUAAGGAAGCGAAGCGGACGUAGAUCGAGUCAAGAGCAAGGAUUGUACGGAUAGAUCGGUCACAUAGUUGAAGUAUAUAAUGUCUAGAAAUCUAAAUUUUAGUAUGAAUGUUGUGAAUUCUUUUAUAGAACGUUUAACAUUUUUAGAAUUUGGAACCUUCGUGAAAGUAAUGUCGUUAAUAAGGAAAGAAAUUUUAAAGCUCUU
This 734-nucleotide long non-coding RNA is filed under the name Helianthus annuus (common sunflower). RNAcentral's name for it is "hypothetical non coding rna". The record is from RNAcentral. Lineage: Eukaryota; Viridiplantae; Streptophyta; Magnoliopsida; Asterales; Asteraceae.